CCUACGGUGGCUGCAGUGGGGAAUAUUGGACAAUGGGCGAAAGCCUGAUCCAGCCAUGCCGCGUGUGUGAAGAAGGCCUUCGGGUUGUAAAGCACUUUCAGUGGGGAAGAAAGCCUUGGGGCUAAUACCCUCGAGGAAGGACAUCACCCACAGAAGAAGCACCGGCUAACUCCGUGCCAGCAGCCGCGGUAAUACGGAGGGUGCGAGCGUUAAUCGGAAUUACUGGGCGUAAAACGCGCGUAGGCGGUCUGAUAAGCCGGUUGUGAAAGCCCCGGGCUCAACCUGGGAACGGCAUCCGGAACUGUCAGGCUAGAGUGCAGGAGAGGAAGGUAGAAUUCCCGGUGUAGCGGUGAAAUGCGUAGAGAUCGGGAGGAAUACCAGUGGCGAAGGCGGUCUUCUGGACUGACACUGACGCUGAGGUGCGAAAGCGUGGGUAGCAAACAGGAUUAGAUACCCGUGUAGUC
Molecule: ribosomal RNA, 464 nt
Filed under: Vreelandella stevensii
Lineage: Bacteria; Pseudomonadati; Pseudomonadota; Gammaproteobacteria; Oceanospirillales; Halomonadaceae
Description: partial 16S ribosomal RNA
Rfam family: Bacterial small subunit ribosomal RNA
Source: RNAcentral